Molecule: long non-coding RNA, 693 nt
Organism: Myotis daubentonii (Daubenton's bat)
Lineage: Eukaryota; Metazoa; Chordata; Mammalia; Chiroptera; Vespertilionidae
Source: RefSeq, a predicted model, not a curated record
GAACUGCAAAUCUUGAGCUUGGCUGAAGUUAUGAGUGGUGAACGAUGAAGUGAGAGAAGAAGGCAGAGACCAAAUCAGAAAAAGAUUGGAUGGUUUGCUUGGGACUUUAGACUUCAUCCACUUGAUGGUGGAGAGUAAAUGAAUAGUAAGAAAGCAAAUAUCUGAGAAGUUAAGUAACCUGGCCAAGGCAUCAAGCUGGAAUUUGAAUCCAGGCUGACGGGUUUACUUGUUCAGUAGACAAGGUUACAAAAAUAAUGCAACCUCAAGAUUAAAGAAAAAUGUAUCAUACAGCCUUGCUCUCCUUACUCUUACUACUAACUGUACCACAGCUGUGGACAUUGGACUCUGGUUAGAGGUUUAUGUAAAAGUCUGUGUAAAAGCUCUGCCCAACAAAGACCCCCAAUAUGGCAUAGUGAAUGUCCAAAACAAUCAGAUGCUCUUUUUGAGGGCAUUUGAACUUGAGACAUAAGAGAAAUAGUUCGGUAAUAUUAGUAGUAGAAGCAGAGUUAGAGUAUUCCAGUUUCCUUAAAGGCAGAGUACAAAUUGGAAUGGAAAGCUUAAUGUUGCUUUGGUGAUGACAAUACAACUUAAUGUCUUAUACCUUAAGGCUUUGUAGUUCUGGAAUUAUGUCAUCCUUAUAAGCCAUGCUAUUAUGUCUCAAUAAAACACCAUUAUAAUUGUGGUUGGAAACUU